UUGUGCUUGCACAGAUGACGACCGGCGCACGGGUGCGUAACGCGUAUAGAACCUACCUUUUACAGAGGAAUAGCCUUUAGAAAUGAAGAUUAAUGCCUCAUAGUAUUGUAGACUGGCAUCAGAUUAUAAUUAAAGAUUUAUCGGUAAAAGAUGGCUAUGCGUCCUAUUAGUUAGUUGGUAAGGUAACGGCUUACCAAGACAGCGAUAGGUAGGAGUCCUGAGAGGGAGAUCCCCCACACUGGUACUGAGACACGGACCAGACUCCUACGGGAGGCAGCAGUGAGGAAUAUUGGACAAUGGAGGAGACUCUGAUCCAGCCAUGCCGCGUGUAGGAAGAAUGCCCUAUGGGUUGUAAACUACUUUUAUACAGGAAGAAACACUGGUAUGUAUACCAGCUUGACGGUACUGUAAGAAUAAGGACCGGCUAACUCCGUGCCAGCAGCCGCGGUAAUACGGAGGGUCCGAGCGUUAUCCGGAAUCAUUGGGUUUAAAGGGUCCGCAGGCGGUCUAUUAAGUCAGAGG
RNAcentral lists this ribosomal RNA (522 nucleotides) under uncultured Polaribacter sp. RNAcentral describes it as "bacterial SSU rRNA". It matches the Rfam family "Bacterial small subunit ribosomal RNA", at positions 74 to 594 of the family's 1533-position model. The record is from RNAcentral. Lineage: Bacteria; Pseudomonadati; Bacteroidota; Flavobacteriia; Flavobacteriales; Flavobacteriaceae.